RNAcentral lists this ribosomal RNA (253 nucleotides) under uncultured bacterium. Its description in RNAcentral is "partial 16S ribosomal RNA". It matches the Rfam family "Bacterial small subunit ribosomal RNA", at positions 524 to 776 of the family's 1533-position model. The record is from RNAcentral.
UACGUAGGGCGCAAGCGUUGUCCGGAAUUAUUGGGCGUAAAGAGCUCGUAGGCGGCUUGUCACGUCGGUUGUGAAAGCCCGGGGCUUAACCCCGGGUCUGCAGUCGAUACGGGCAGGCUAGAGUGUGGUAGGGGAGAUCGGAAUUCCUGGUGUAGCGGUGAAAUGCGCAGAUAUCAGGAGGAACGCCGGUGGCGAAGGCGGUUCUCUGGGCCUUACCUGACGCUGAGGAGCGAAAGCGUGGGGAGCGAACAGG